AAGUUGACGGGGGCCCGCACAAGCGGUGGAGCAUGUUGGUUUAAUUCGAAGCAACGCGAAGAACCUUUACCAGGUUCUUGACAUCCCGAUGCUAUUUCUAGAGAUAGAAAGUUUACUUCGGUACAUCGGUGACAGGUGGUGCAUGGUUGUCGUCAGCUCGUGUCGUGAGAUGUUGGGUUAAGUCCCGCAACGAGCGCAACCCCUAUUGUUAGUUGCCAUCAUUCAGUUGGGCACUCUGGCGAGACUGCCGGUAAUAAACCGGAGGAAGGUGGGGAUGACGUCAAAUCAUCAUGCCCCUUAUGACCUGGGCUACACACGUGCUACAAUGGUUGGUACAACGAGUUGCGAGUCGGUGACGGCGAGCUAAUCUCUUAAAGCCAAUCUCAGUUCGGAUUGUAGGCUGCAACUCGCCUACAUGAAGUCGGAAUCGCUAGUAAUCGCGGAUCAGCACGCCGCGGUGAAUACGUUCCCGGGCCUU
Molecule: ribosomal RNA, 478 nt
Filed under: uncultured Streptococcus sp.
Lineage: Bacteria; Bacillati; Bacillota; Bacilli; Lactobacillales; Streptococcaceae
Description: bacterial SSU rRNA
Rfam family: Bacterial small subunit ribosomal RNA
Source: RNAcentral